AAGUUGUUGCGGUUAAAAGCUCGUAGUUCGAGCUCAGUUCCGGACUGGCCGGGGAGGUCACCGCCCGGUGCUUCCCCGUCAGGCUCCGAACAGCCUUCGUGAGCGGAGGCCAAGCCGGUUCUGCCGGGGUGCUCUUUACCGAGUGUCCCGCGCGGCCGGCCAGUUCACCUUGAAUAAAUGAGAGUGCUCAAAGCAGGCUACUCUCGAAUACAAUGCCCGAAUGUUACCUGCAUGGAAUGAUGGAAGAUGAUCUCGGUUCCAUUUUAUUGGUGGUGGGAGCCCGAGGUAAUGAUAAACAGGGACUGUCGGGGGCAUCCGUACUACGACGCGAGAGGUGAAAUUCAGUGACCGUCGUAGGACGAACAACAGCGAAAGCAUUUGCCAAGAAUGUCUUCGUUGAUCAAGAACGAAAGUUAGAGGAUCGAAGGCGAUCAGAUACCGCCCUAGUUCUAACCCUAAACGAUGCUGACUAGCAAUUCGCCGUCGUUAUUCCCAUGACGUGGCGAGACGCCCCCGGGAAACCUCAAGUCUUUGAGUUCCGGGGGUAGUAUGGUUGCAAAACUGAAACUUAAAGGAAUUGACGGAAGGGCACCACCAGGAGUGGAGCCUGCGGCUUAAUUUGACUCAACACGGGAAACCUCACCAGGCCCGGACACCAGAAGGAUUGACAGAUUAAGAGCUCUUUCUCGAUUUGGUGGGUGGUGGUGCAUGGCCGUUCUUAGUUGGUGGAGUGAUUUGUCUGGUUAAUUCCGGUAACGAACGAGACUCUGGCCUACUAAAUAGUCGACGGGCGUUUUGGUGCAUGGGCCCCGUUCGACACAGUCUUCUUAGAGGGAUGAGCAGCGAGUAUAGCUGCAGGAGAUUGAGCAAUAACAGGUCUGUGAUGCCCUUAGAUGUCCUGGGCCGCACGCGCGCUACACUGAAUGGGUUAGCGGGUUGUCCUUCUCCGAGAGGAGCGGGAAAUCGCUUGAAAACCAUUCGUGAUAGGGAUUGGGGCUUGCAAUUGUUUCCCAUGAACGAGGAAUUCCCAGUAAGCGCAAGUCAUCAGCUUGCGUUGAUUAAGUCCCUGCCCUUUGUACACACCGCCCGUCGCUACUACCGAUUGAAUGAUUUAGUGAGGCCUUCGGACUGGCGGUCUUGGACUGGGGCGCCGGAUAUCCUCAGCAAUGGGGUGCCGGCGACCCGCCUAGACGGGCCGGAAAGAUGUCCAAACUUGAUCAUUUAGAGGAAGUAAAAGUCGUAACAAGGUUUCCGUAGGUGA
This 1261-nucleotide ribosomal RNA is filed under the name Palaemonella hachijo. Its description in RNAcentral is "SSU rRNA". It matches the Rfam family "Eukaryotic small subunit ribosomal RNA", at positions 607 to 1812 of the family's 1831-position model. Lineage: Eukaryota; Metazoa; Arthropoda; Malacostraca; Decapoda; Palaemonidae. The record is from RNAcentral.